This 64-nucleotide transfer RNA is filed under the name Tachyusa gemma. RNAcentral's name for it is "tRNA-Leu". Lineage: Eukaryota; Metazoa; Arthropoda; Insecta; Coleoptera; Staphylinidae. The record is from RNAcentral.
AUUAUUUUGGCAGAUUAGUGCAUUAAAUUUAGAAUUUAAUUAUGUAGGGGGCUACAAAUAAUAC